AAUAGAUACCCUGGUAGUCCACGCCGUAAACGAUGUCGACUUGGAGGUUGUGCCCUUGAGGCGUGGCUUCCGGAGCUAACGCGUUAAGUCGACCGCCUGGGGAGUACGGCCGCAAGGUUAAAACUCAAAUGAAUUGACGGGGGCCCGCACAAGCGGUGGAGCAUGUGGUUUAAUUCGAUGCAACGCGAAGAACCUUACCUACUCUUGACAUCCAGAGAACUUGGCAGAGAUGCUUUGGUGCCUUCGGGAACUCUGAGACAGGUGCUGCAUGGCUGUCGUCAGCUCGUGUUGUGAAAUGUUGGGUUAAGUCCCGCAACGAGCGCAACCCUUAUCCUUUGUUGCCAGCGGUCCGGCCGGGAACUCAAAGGAGACUGCCAGUGAUAAACUGGAGGAAGGUGGGGAUGACGUCAAGUCAUCAUGGCCCUUACGAGUAGGGCUACACACGUGCUACAAUGACGCAUACAAAGAGAAGCGACCUCGCGAGAGCAAGCGGACCUCAUAAAGUGCGUCGUAGUCCGGA
RNAcentral lists this ribosomal RNA (520 nucleotides) under uncultured bacterium. RNAcentral describes it as "bacterial SSU rRNA". It matches the Rfam family "Bacterial small subunit ribosomal RNA", at positions 777 to 1297 of the family's 1533-position model. The record is from RNAcentral.